RNAcentral lists this ribosomal RNA (272 nucleotides) under uncultured bacterium. RNAcentral's name for it is "partial 16S ribosomal RNA". It matches the Rfam family "Bacterial small subunit ribosomal RNA", at positions 524 to 776 of the family's 1533-position model. The record is from RNAcentral.
UACGGAGGAUGCGAGCGUUGUCCGGAAUCAUUGGGCGUAAAGGGCGCGUAGGUGGCCCGGUCAGUCCGUGGUGAAAGCGCGGGGCUCAACCCCGCGUCGGCCAUGGAUACUGCUGGGCUGGAGCACUGUAGAGGCAGAUGGAAUUCCGGGUGUAGCGGUGGAAUGCGUAGAGAUCCGGAAGAACACCAGUGGCGAAGGCGGUCUGCUGGGCAGUGGACUCGAGAGAGUCCUUCAACCGACACUGAGGCGCGACAGCGUGGGGAGCAAACAGG